GAUUGAUGUGGGGAAGGAGGGUGGGAAUCAUUCAGGUGUUCAGUAUCAGUAUUUAGUCCCCACCAUCGCUGGCGCCUUCAUUUUGCCCGGCAGUAUGUCAACGAAGACUUAGGUUUCUGGGCAAGAGUUGUUUUUUUUCUGAUGAAAAAGAAAACAUUUGCGUCGACCUCGCACGGACAGUUGCACUGAUGGCGACGCAAUAAUACAAGAUACUCCUGUGAGCACAUGUAACGUGUGGGGAUGGGUUAACUUAUACACCCUGGGUGAGCUGGCAGAAAUACAAGGAAGAUUCAACGCGACCAAUAGGUACCUUGAAAUACUGGAAGACGUGAUGGUCCCCAACUGUUCGAGCCAUGGCAUUUCCCUACCCAGAGCGCAUUCUAUUCAUGCAAGACAACUGUCCAAUUCACACAGCCAGGAUAGUUAAGCGAUGGUUUGAGGAACAACAAGACAUUGACCUGCUGGACUGGCCAAGUAAGGGGUGUGAUAUGAAUCCCUUGGAAAAUUGCUGGGGGACCAUCGUCAACUCCUGGAUCCCAGGCCAAGAGCAAUAAUCAAUGCAGCUCCUCCAACACACCAUGUCCGAAAUAGGAGAUAUUCAGAAAAAAUCAACAAAUCGUCUACAAUCAUGUAGCCUCC
Macrobrachium nipponense is the source of this 639-nucleotide long non-coding RNA. RefSeq lists it as uncharacterized. Lineage: Eukaryota; Metazoa; Arthropoda; Malacostraca; Decapoda; Palaemonidae. The record is from RefSeq and is a predicted model, not a curated record. The transcript is spliced from 3 exons.